RNAcentral lists this ribosomal RNA (510 nucleotides) under uncultured bacterium. RNAcentral describes it as "partial 16S ribosomal RNA". It matches the Rfam family "Bacterial small subunit ribosomal RNA", at positions 28 to 507 of the family's 1533-position model. The record is from RNAcentral.
GACGAACGCUGGCGGCGUGCUUAACACAUGCAAGUCGAACGAAGAGCGAUGGAAGCUUGCUUCUAUCAAUCUUAGUGGCGAACGGGUGAGUAACGCGUAAUCAACCUGCCCUUCAGAGGGGGACAACAGUUGGAAACGACUGCUAAUACCGCAUACGAUCUAAUCUCGGCAUCGAGGAUAGAUGAAAGGUGGCCUCUACAUGUAAGCUAUCACUGAAGGAGGGGAUUGCGUCUGAUUAGCUAGUUGGAGGGGUAUCGGCCCACCAAGGCGAUGAUCAGUAGCCGGUCUGAGAGGAUGAACGGCCACAUUGGGACUGAGACACGGCCCAGACCCCUACGGGAGGCAGCAGUGGGGAAUCUUCCGCAAUGGACGAAAGUCUGACGGAGCAACGCCGCGUGAGUGAUGACGGCCUUCGGGUUGUAAAGCUCUGUUAAUCGGGACGAAAGGCCUUCUUGCGAAUAGUGAGAAGGAUUGACGGUACCGGAAUAGAAAGCCACGGCUAACUACGUG